UCAAUUUUGAUCCCUUUGCUGCAAGGAAGAAUUCUAUUAUUUCGUUUUGGGACAUAUGUCAAUAAAAUACUCUUGACGAUCU
Long non-coding RNA from Amblyraja radiata (thorny skate), 82 nucleotides. RefSeq lists it as uncharacterized. The record is from RefSeq and is a predicted model, not a curated record. The transcript is spliced from 4 exons. NCBI's taxonomy places the organism in Eukaryota, Metazoa, Chordata, Chondrichthyes, Rajiformes, Rajidae.